This 781-nucleotide ribosomal RNA is filed under the name uncultured bacterium. Its description in RNAcentral is "bacterial SSU rRNA". It matches the Rfam family "Bacterial small subunit ribosomal RNA", at positions 561 to 1341 of the family's 1533-position model. The record is from RNAcentral.
UAAAGAGCUCGUAGGUGGUUUGUCGCGUUGUUCGUGAAAUCUCACAACUCAAUUGUGAGCGUGCGGGCGAUACGGGCAGACUGGAGUACUGCAGGGGAGACUGGAAUUCCUGGUGUAGCGGUGGAAUGCGCAGAUAUCAGGAGGAACACCGGUGGCGAAGGCGGGUCUCUGGGCAGUAACUGACGCUGAGGAGCGAAAGCGUGGGGAGCGAACAGGAUUAGAUACCCUGGUAGUCCACGCCGUAAACGGUGGGUACUAGGUGUGGGUUUCCUUCCUUGGGAUCCGUGCCGUAGCUAACGCAUUAAGUACCCCGCCUGGGGAGUACGGCCGCAAGGCUAAAACUCAAAGAAAUUGACGGGGGCCCGCACAAGCGGCGGAGCAUGUGGAUUAAUUCGAUGCAACGCGAAGAACCUUACCUGGGUUUGACAUGCACAGGACGACGGCAGAGAUGUCGUUUCCCUUGUGGCCUGUGUGCAGGUGGUGCAUGGCUGUCGUCAGCUCGUGUCGUGAGAUGUUGGGUUAAGUCCCGCAACGAGCGCAACCCUUGUCUCAUGUUGCCAGCGGGUAAUGCCGGGGACUCGUGAGAGACUGCCGGGGUCAACUCGGAGGAAGGUGGGGAUGACGUCAAGUCAUCAUGCCCCUUAUGUCCAGGGCUUCACACAUGCUACAAUGGCCGGUACAAAGGGCUGCGAAGCCGUGGGGUGGAGCGAAUCCUUUAAAGCCGGUCUCAGUUCGGAUCGGGGUCUGCAACUCGACCCCGUGAAGUUGGAGUCGCUAGUAA